CCCGCGCCUCGCCCCUCGCCAUGGGGCCGCGGCACCUGCUGCUGCCGCUGCUCCUGCUCUCCCUGCAGCUCCUGGCCCUGCUGCUGCCGCUGCCCGCGCAGGCGGCCGGGCCCCCCCGCGCCAAGGGCAACCGGACCCAGGGGGCGGCGGCGGCGCGGCGGACCCCCAAGCCGGGCAAGGAGCUCCUGAACCAGACGCUGGCGGGCCCGGGGGCCGCCGCCCCCACGGCGCUGCCCGGGCGCAGCAAGGGCGCGGGGGGCGGCAAGGCAGCCCCCGGAGGCGGGGGCGGCGGCGGGAGCUCGGCCCCGGCGCACGAGACGUGCUGGGGGUACUACGACGUGAGCGGGCAGUGGGACAAGGAGUUCGAGUGCAACAACAGCCUCACGGGCUUCCGCUACUGCUGCGGCACCUGCUUCUACCGCUUCUGCUGCAACAAGCGCGCCGAGAAGCUCAACCAGAGCCUGUGCCGCAACUACAAGAGCCCUGAGUGGGCCCACCCCACCACGGCCAGCGGUGCCCUGCCCGCCGACGGCGGCGACGGCAGCGAUGGGGACGCCAACAAGUACGACCCGGACAAGGACAGCACCAACGCCACCGUCUACAUCUCGUGCGGGGCCAUCGCCUUCGUGCUCAUCGCCGGCGUCUUCGCCAAGGUGGCCUACGACAAGGCGCGGCGCCCGCCCCGGGAGAUGAACAUUCACAGGGCUCUGGCUGACAUCCUAAGGCAGCAGGGACCAAUCCCAAUUGGACACUGUGAAAGAGAGACUAUCUCGGCCAUAGAUACCUCCCCCAAAGAGAGCACCCCAGUCAGGACCUCCUCCAAAAACCAUUACACGCCCGUGCGCACCGCCAAGAGCAACCCAGGUCACUAUGGAAAGGAUAUUUAUCGCAGUGGAGGGCCAGAUCUCCAUAAUUUCAUCUCCUCUGGGUUUGUCACGUUAGGAAGAGGACACACGAAGGAUGACCAAGAACAAAAUUAUAAUCACCUGAUACUAAACAGUGACACCCAGACACCUACACAUGACAAGCCACGAAUGAACAACAUCCUCACUUCAGCCACCGAGCCCUACGACCUGUCCUUCUCCCGCUCCUUCCAGAACCUCUCCCACCUCCCGCCGUCCUAUGAGUCUGCAGUCAAGACCAACCCCAGUAAAUAUUCAUCUCUGAAGAGACUCACUGACAAAGAGGCUGACGAGUACUACAUGAGGAGGAGACACCUGCCCGACCUGGCAGCCCGGGGCACACUGCCCAUCAACGUCAUCAAAAUGUCUCAGCAGGGCAACCACCGGGACAGGCCCCGCCGUCCCAUCAGGGCCAUGUCCCAGGACAGGGUGCUGUCCCCUGAGAGGAUCAUGCCUGAGGAGUUCAGCAUGUCCUACGAGCGGAUUCUCUCAGACGAGCAGCUCCUGUCAGCGGAGCGCCUGCACUCCCAGGACCCGCUGCUGUCCCCGGAGCGCUCGGGGUACCCCGAGCAGUCCAUGUCCAGGGCAUUGUCACACACGGAUGUCUUUGUGUCAACACCAGUCUUGGAUCGCUACAGGAUGUCAAAAAUGCACUCCCAUCCCAGUGCCUCAAAUAACUUGUACAAUACCUUGAGUAUGAACCCGACCUCGGCCAAGCGCCAAGCGUUCGCCUCGCGCCGGCACAACACGGUGGAACAGCUGCAUUACAUCCCCGGCCACCACCACCACUACCGCACCGCCAGCAAAACCGAGGUGACUGUUUGACACGACCCAGUGCAUUGUAGAUACUCCUUAAGGACUGGGGUGGCCACAGCACCCUGUUCUGCAGUGGCCUUAUAGGCCAAGAUAACCUCUACUAACUCAGUGUCUGCAAAGACUUCUCUGACAGUCCCGCCCACGUUGUUUUUAAAGCCACCCCUUCAUCAGUGACACAGGAAGAACUGAAGCAGCAGUCAGACACUAGUGAGGGAUAACAGAGGAAAUUUCCUGAUGUGCAUCAGUUUCUGUCAAAGAAAGCCAUAGUAAUCGAUGGCUCCUUCCAAGGGCUCACCUGCAUUAUCCCAUAGUUUCCAUGAAUUCAGGACUUUUCAGUUGCUCCAAGGAGAAGCAGCCUGAGACAGGGAGGAGGAAAUGCAGCCCCCCCCCGCAUCCUGGCAGGAAGGGGCCUCAUUCUUCGUCCUCAUGUUUGGCCUUUCUGUAGCAAGUAGGGAAGUUCUGGCUGCUGGGGUCACCCCCAGGCUGCUCGACACCCAUCAGCCUCCAUGCAUCUGUUCUUUGUCACCCUUGGAGCAAAUUCAAGGGCAGACUUUCCUACGGGACUGGCAGAUCUAAGGACAAGAAUAGCCUGGCUGAGAAAUAAAGUUUUAGUUUAUACUAAAUAUACUCAUAAGAUAAAAACAUACUAGUGCCUACAAAUCGCCUGCUCUCUCAGUGUAGGAAGUAGUGGGGUUGAUGUGUUCAAUAAGCACAAAUAUGCUGAAAUGCUUGUUAGACCCUUUCCUCCACUCAUUCUAGUAUCUUGGUGUCUCCAACAUGUAAAUAGGAAGGAGGAAGAGGGUUUCUCUUCCUCCAGCUUCUUGCCACUGCUGAACCUAAAGCACCAGAACCCAUUCAGCUCCACACUGCUGGCCUGUGCUGGGGGAGGUCCUGACCCCACUGAGACCCUGUGAGGCAGGGGUCUGUCACCGAGCCUGGAUUUCUCCCCAGAAGUUUCUUUUCCUGAUAGCAUUUUCCAUGGCCCAGUUCCCCUGUUUCUCCUCCCAUUUACAGCCUAGAGCUCCAUAUGUAGCAAAUCUUUUUCCAGCCCUUAGCAGAGGCACAAAGCUGAGGGUGUCUGUUUACCGAAAUGCAGGUCGGUAACUUUCCGUGGUUUUCUCUCCCUGCAAUGGCCUCCCAAGAAAACCUUCCAAAUUCCAAUUCCACUGAGUCCCAAUCCUAAUCAUGAUGACAGUUACAUUUCAUGCAUAUAAAUUAUAUAUCCAGCAUAAUUAUAAUUAAUGGGCAUGUUGUAUAUCUGAUAUAACGCUAAUUAGAUACUGUAUAUUUGUAAAAUCUUUAAAACAUAGACUCGUGGGUCCAGAAUUUGUGAGGGUUUUAUCUUUGGCUUUCCAGACAGAUUGGGCUUUGCUUUGAUUUUUUGUUAGAUUUGGGUUUUCUUUUAUUUUCUCUUUUUUUUUUUUUCUUUUUUUUUUAAUUUAUGCUCCUACCAAAUUCUGUAGAACCGACUCCCACCAGAACACACUUCUGUGGCCAGGAAAGGGUCUCAGGGGGCUUGAAGGCCAGCCAGACCUGGUGCUGGAGCUGUGGGUGCUAGACACUGUCCCUGGAGUGCCCUUGAGGCCCCAGCACACACACACACCUGGUGAGAUGACGACUGACUUCAGGCUGUGAGCGCAUCCCUGUGCACUUCUCUUCGUGUUCCAUGUUCCCACACCAACUCUUUUCCUGCAUGGCUCCUCAUUAGGCUUCACUGAACUUUGCUCUGCCCUCCUCCCUCCCCUCAGAUACCUCCUGGCCUUAAUGACAUUCCCAGCCCAGCUGUGUCAAGUCCUGUAGCAAACACUGAUGGUAGGGCAUGGGCGUGAGUCUCCUGUGGAGGCUUUGGUGCAGGGUAGGCAGCAGGAACACGUGUCCUUACCCCAGUGGGACAUACAGGUGGGCUCAGUGGGGUGUCCAGGUGGCCUUUCUCUUUCCAGACUGUCCUGGAGCUGGUCCUAUUUCCAGAGCUUUAUGCUGCCCCAUCUGAUGAAGACUGUUGAGAAGGACUCCAUCAGUGAGAGGUUACUGGGGCUUUGUUUGACGGAAACUGAGCUGGGAGGGAGCAAACAAAUAACGGUCUCCAGGGUCAGAUCCUGCAGCCCUGGGCAAAACCACUCUGGGCAACAACCAGAACUGUCUGUGGAUCAGGGUGGCAGUUCAUGGCAUGGGAGGGAUGAGGCAGAACAGGCUCACACCUCAUCUCCUGCCCCCUCCCUUGAUGGACACUACUCUCCCCUGACUACCUCCAAGCUCCUCGGCUCAGCCCCUGGAUUUUUCCUCCCAGAAGACAAUCCCUGUGAGAACAUUGCCCUUGCUGACCUUCCCACAGGCCAAAGUGUGGGACUCCUGUGAAGAGAAACUGAUGGCUGAUGGAGAGGCAGCCCCUGCUGAGGUUCUGGGGCUCUUCCUGGCCCAAGCACAGCCAGGGAGAUCUGAACUGUGGCAGAGCAGAGUCCACUGUAGAGUCUGAAGGAGCUGUGGUGGCAGAGUUGGAGAAGAGGUGACGGUGAGAGGCUGUGGGUAGGUGAACACUCCUCUCUUUCCAUGUCCAUAGCUGUGUGUCUCAAGCUCUAGUCCUCAUCUCAGUGUUCCAUUUGUGAACUAAGAAGUUGCUGGACCAUAUGAAAAUUUGGAAACUUUUUGUUUGAGUAGCCCAUGCUGAUGCUGAGCUGUGCCUGGGCAAUUUGACCUCUGUGUCUUCUGUUCUGGCUAACAAAUAUCACAGGCCCUCUGCUGACAUGUCCUACCUGGGCAAGAAUCCUCCAGAGAAAUCUUAGCCUCAUUUCCUUCUCUUUUUUCCACCCACUCAACUGUUUCAAGCAGAUGUGUCCCACAAGGAGCUUUUUUAGGGCAAAUCUCUUCAGGGACUCUGCCACCACCACAGAAAAUUUUCAGCAAAUUUCCUUGGGAAGGAACCGUGCCCUGGAUACCACCUGGGCACCAUGUGUUCCCACAGCUCGCUCUGUGUGCUGGAAUGGCUUGGUGGGUGGGGCAGUGGCAUUUCAGCACACACAGGUGUCCUUAGGUCAUUUUUUUUCUCUUAUUCCUCCUCAUGAGAAUUUGUCACUGGAAGAACACUUGGUCUGGGACCGAGUGCCAUGACCCACAGCCUGGUCCCCAGCCCUUCAGCUCCCCAUGGUCCUCAUGUGAUGAUAAUGGGAAUUUCCAGCUCUGUGGAGGGAUCAGACCAUAAUGUCGGUGAAAGUGCUCUGAGACCCUCUCACCACAGAAACUGUAGAGCAGCAAAGUGUUUUUGUUAAUCUUGUUUGUCAUUGUCCCGACACAUCGUGUGUGAUGUGUCUCAGUCCAAUGUCUGCCCAGAGCGAGAGAGCCGGGCUGGGAUUGCCCAGAUUGCCACUGCUCUCCUCCUGGUCAGGGUCCUGGCAGGCAGCAGCUCCAAGGGAUGCUGUUCCCUGCACUAGGACCCUCCUGCUUCCCUCUCCUCAUGUCUGAGUCACCACAACACCCUGCACUCAGGAGAAAAGUGGGAAGCAGCCACAUUCCUCUGUACAGUAAAAUAGAACCUGCCUUGAUUAAUCUCAUAUUCUCUGAAGAAUUGAUCUGUAUUUUCUCCACCCACAGGUGCAAACAAACACCUGAGGAGCAUCCAGUUCCCAGAGUGCAUGUGCAGGGACUGGGGGAGGGGGAUGUAGAAAAGUUUAUAUUAUUUCCUACAAGCUGAUAAUUAUUUGCAUUCCCUGAGCAGCAACACAUCCUGGAUGGCUGCACUGGGUUUUUUUACAGUUCUCUGUGUAUGUGUAUAUAGAUACAAAUAUAUAUAUACAUACAUACUGCAAAAUGCAAUCAACACGUUCUGACUGAACCUGUACCAACUGAAGCUUCCAAACUGUGUUGAAUCAUUCUUUGAAACGUGGAAAACUAUUUUUAAUGAAUCACACACAGCACCACACGGAACAGGAACUUUGUCAUAAAAAGCCUUCUAAUGCCAGUGAAUCAUGUUUUAAGGAAAAAAAAAAAAAAAGAAAUAUUUUUCAAUGUUUUAAUGCUCCUUUUAUAAAUGAUGAUCUGUUACUUGGGGAUGGGGGUGGGUGGGAAGAGACACAGACAGUUGUCCGGGAGUAAGCCCUCCUUCCCUGGCUUGGAUUUAAUUUAUGUCUGCUGAGCCUGGCUGGCUGCAAAGCUGCUCCCAGGAACCUGAGCUUCCCACAUGCACAUUUAUGUUCUAUCAGAAGCAUUCCCACCAGGAAUCUGCAGGAGUUUGGCAUCAGCUUUUGGUAAGAGAUAUUUAGUUCCUGGUAACUGGGAAGACAUCCUUGUCUUCUUCCACCACAAAAACAAAAUCGCCAUGAAACAGGUUAAUUUUAAUUGUGUUUGAAAUACAAAUUCUGUUUGGGAUCAAUUUGCCAUCUCUAGCUCAUGCAGAAAUAGCUUGUCUUAGUUUAGUUUCAGAUUUAGUGCUUCAUAUGGAAGGAGGGGCUCUACUGAAAUACCUUUAGCACAAGCAGAUUUUGUGUUCAGGUGUAUUUCAGCUGAGUGAAAGAAAGGAAAUGUGUGAGGAAGGGGCUUCAAUAUUUUCCUAGCGAGUGUUGUUAGCAAUAAGCCCGUGUUGGGGCUGCUCCUUGGGGAACAGCCACUUGUGUGCUGUGUCCACAGGCAGGUGGGAGAAGGGACUGUUCCCAGCUGUCUCAGUGCUGACAGGUGCCCUCCCCAACCCAAAUCCCAGCUGGGAAAAGCCAGCUGUGCUUCACCCAAGGGCCAGGGCAGAGUUGGACGGGGCUGUUCCGAGUGUGUCGGUGUUAAUGGAAGAGAUCUCUGCUCCAGCACCCCGGCUCUCCACCGUGGCCACACCAUCCCAGGAGAUCUCUCCAUCCCAGGAGGUCUCUCUCCAUCCCAAGUGAUCUCUCACCAUCCCCAGGAGGUCUCUCUCCAUCCCAGGAGAUCUCUCCAUCCCAGGAGGUCUCUCUCCAUCCCAGGAGGUCUCUCUCCAUCCCAGGAGGUCUCUCUCCAUCCCGGGAGGUCUCCACCCCACCCCACUGCCAGGAGGAGCUGCUCCCCCUGCCCCUCUGCUCCGCCGCCACUCCCCGCCGCCUGCAAACCCCUGAGACAAUUUUGUAGCAAGAGUUUCUUGGCUCUGAGAAAGACACUUCUUACUGUAAUAUUUUUAGUUUGGGGGACAAUAUUUCCUAAGAGGGGUUAAGUGGAUAUUUUUGUGCUUUAGCCCAGUUUAUGGAUUCCAUGUUUAUUAUACAGUAGUACUGAAGAGGAAGUACAUUUGUAUCUGUAACUUUGCACAGACUCUUGGUUAACCAUUAAACAAGCUUCAAGAUGAGCAGUAUUUGACUGUUUUUCUCUGUAUUAUUCUUGUUGUUAUACUUACCUGUAAAAGCACAUUCUGUAUGUACUGUAAACAAAAAUAUUAUCAGUUUAGUAAAAUUUAGAGUCUUAAGGAUUUUUCCACUUUUGUCAGUAACAACUAUUUAUGGAUUAAAAAAUAAAGGCAAUUUCAACAUAUAAAUUGUUUCUUUUUGAUAUCUAUUGGGGGGAAAUAAAAGCCAUUUUGUUGGCAGCCUUCCCAAUCUUUGUAACCAGCGUUUGAAAGGUAGAUAUCUGUGAUUCUGUGUGUAGUUAAAUAGCAUCUAUUAAAAUGAAUGCUGCAAGGUC
Molecule: RNA transcript, 7343 nt
Organism: Catharus ustulatus (Swainson's thrush)
Lineage: Eukaryota; Metazoa; Chordata; Aves; Passeriformes; Turdidae
Gene: SHISA6
Gene name: shisa family member 6
Exons: 7
Source: RefSeq, a predicted model, not a curated record